This 250-nucleotide ribosomal RNA is filed under the name uncultured Peptoniphilus sp. Its description in RNAcentral is "partial 16S ribosomal RNA". It matches the Rfam family "Bacterial small subunit ribosomal RNA", at positions 89 to 339 of the family's 1533-position model. The record is from RNAcentral. Lineage: Bacteria; Bacillati; Bacillota; Tissierellia; Tissierellales; Peptoniphilaceae.
GGAUUAGCGGCGGACGGGUGAGUAACACGUGAGUAACCUGCCUUAGACAUUGGGAUAGCCUCGGGAAACCGGGAUUAAUACCAAAUGAAAUCAUAGGUGCCCAUGCACUAAUGAUCAAAACUCCGGUGGUCUAAGAUGGACUCGCGUCCCAUUAGCUAGUUGGCGGGGCAACGGCCCACCAAGGCAACGAUGCGUAGCCGGCCUGAGAGGGCGGACGGCCACAUUGGGACUGAGACACGGCCCAGACUCC